RNAcentral lists this ribosomal RNA (286 nucleotides) under Copelatus glyphicus. RNAcentral's name for it is "partial 18S ribosomal RNA". It matches the Rfam family "Eukaryotic small subunit ribosomal RNA", at positions 227 to 507 of the family's 1831-position model. Lineage: Eukaryota; Metazoa; Arthropoda; Insecta; Coleoptera; Dytiscidae. The record is from RNAcentral.
GCCCGUUCGCCGCUCAACCUGGUGACUCUGAAUAACUUUCGGCUGAUCGCACGGUCCAGCACCGGCGACGCAUCUUUCAAAUGUCUGCCUUAUCAACUGUCGAUGGUAGGUUCUGCGCCUACCAUGGUCGUAACGGGUAACGGGGAAUCAGGGUUCGAUUCCGGAGAGGGAGCCUGAGAAACGGCUACCACAUCCAAGGAAGGCAGCAGGCGCGCAAAUUACCCACUCCCGGCACGGGGAGGUAGUGACGAAAAAUAACGAUACGGGACUCAUCCGAGGCCCCGUA